Molecule: ribosomal RNA, 504 nt
Filed under: uncultured bacterium
Lineage: Bacteria
Description: bacterial SSU rRNA
Rfam family: Bacterial small subunit ribosomal RNA
Source: RNAcentral
AGUAAAUAGAUACCCGGGUAGUCCACGCCGUAAACGAUGUCGACUUGGAGGUUGUGCCCUUGAGGCGCGGCUUCCGGAGCUAAACGCGUUAAAGUCGACCGCCUGGGGAGUACGGCCGCAAGGUUAAACUCAAAUGAAUUGGACGGGGCCCGCACAAGCGGUGGAGCAUGUGGUUUAAUUCGAUGCAACGCGAAGAACCUUACCUACUCUUGACAUCCAGAGAACUUAGCAGAGAUGCUUUGGUGCCUUCGGGAACUCUGAGACAGGUGCUGCAUGGCUGUCGUCAGCUCGUGUUGUGAAAUGUUGGGUUAAGUCCCGCAACGAGCGCAACCCUUAUCCUUUGUUGCCAGCGGUUAGGCCGGGAACUCAAAGGAGACUGCCAGUGAUAAACUGGAGGAAGGUGGGGAUGACGUCAAUCAUCAUGGCCCUUACGAGUAGGGCUACACACGUGCUACAAUGGCGCAUACAAAGAGAAGCGACCUCGCGAGAGCAAGCGGACCUCAU